AAAAGCGGAGGAAAAGAAACCAACAGGGAUUGCCUCAGUAACGGCGAGUGAAGCGGCAAAAGCUCAAAUUUGAAACCCUCGGGAUUGUAAUUUGAAGAUUUGGCAUUGGAGAAAGCUAACCCAAGUUGCUUGGAAUAGUACGUCAUAGAGGGUGACAACCCCGUCUGGCUAACCGUUCUCCAUGUAUUGCCUUAUCAAAGAGUCGAGUUGUUUGGGAAUGCAGCUCAAAGUGGGUGGUAAACUCCAUCUAAAGCUAAAUACUGGUGAGAGACCGAUAGCGAACAAGUACUGUGAAGGAAAGGUGAAAAGAACUUUGAAAAGAGAGUGAAAUAGUAUGUGAAAUUGUUGAUAGGGAAGGAAAUGAGUGGAGAGUGGCCGAGGUUUCAGCCGCCCCUCGUGGGCGGUGUACUGCCGACGCCGAGUCAUCGAUAGCGAGACGAGGGUUACAAAUGGGAGCGCCUUCGGGCGUUCUCCCCUAACCCUCCACACUGCCACCGACGACAUAAUCCACCCAUUUCACCCGUCUU
This 527-nucleotide ribosomal RNA is filed under the name Yarrowia lipolytica. Its description in RNAcentral is "partial large subunit ribosomal RNA". It matches the Rfam family "Eukaryotic large subunit ribosomal RNA", at positions 46 to 655 of the family's 3401-position model. The record is from RNAcentral. Lineage: Eukaryota; Fungi; Ascomycota; Dipodascomycetes; Dipodascales.